Sphaerodactylus townsendi is the source of this 250-nucleotide long non-coding RNA. RefSeq lists it as uncharacterized. The record is from RefSeq and is a predicted model, not a curated record. The transcript has 3 exons. Lineage: Eukaryota; Metazoa; Chordata; Lepidosauria; Squamata; Sphaerodactylidae.
CACGGCCCCCUGUCUGCAAGGCUGCCCAAGGCCAGAGGCCUCACUCUUGGUCACUCUUGGGGUUGAGCCACCUAACGCAUUAGAGAAAACUGAGAAGGAGCACCUGGCCUCAGAACACGUGCUGAUGGUUCAGCAAGUUCUGGCAGAACUCAAGGAACACCACAGGUGAGUGGGGAGGGGCUUCUUUUAUGGAGGGCGGGGGGGCCGGGGGCAGAUCCCUCCAUACAGGCAUCCACCCACCUUUCUGUUU